UUAUUUAAUGGCCGCGGUAUUUUGACCGUGCAAAGGUAGCAUAAUCAUUAGUUUAUUAAUUGUGAACUUGUAUGAAUGGUUUGACGAAAUAUUAACUGUCUCUUAUGUAUAUGUUGAAUUUAAAUUUUUAGUUAAAAUGCUUAAAUUUUUUAUAGGACGAGAAGACCCUAUAGAUCUUUAUUAUUUUUUAUUUAUUUUCUUUAGUUUUACUUAAUAUAUGGAAUUUUUUUGUUGGGGUGACAUGGAGAAAAUUAUAUUAAACUCUUCAUUAUUUGUUACAAUUAUUUUUGAUUUUUUGAUUUUAUUUUAAUUAUAUAAGAUUAGAUACCUUAGGGAUAACAGCGUAAUUUUUUUUGAGAGUUCAUAUUGACAUUGAAGAUUGCGACCUCGAUGUUGGAUUAAGAUUAAUAUUAGGUGCAGGUGCUUAAUUUAUAGGUCUGUUCGACCUUUAAAUUCUUACAUGAUCUGAGUCAAAAACCGGAG
This 483-nucleotide ribosomal RNA is filed under the name Carausius spinosus. Its description in RNAcentral is "partial large subunit ribosomal RNA". It matches the Rfam family "Bacterial large subunit ribosomal RNA", at positions 1920 to 2623 of the family's 2925-position model. Lineage: Eukaryota; Metazoa; Arthropoda; Insecta; Phasmatodea; Lonchodidae. The record is from RNAcentral.